This 551-nucleotide ribosomal RNA is filed under the name uncultured bacterium. RNAcentral's name for it is "bacterial SSU rRNA". It matches the Rfam family "Bacterial small subunit ribosomal RNA", at positions 355 to 896 of the family's 1533-position model. The record is from RNAcentral.
UGGGGAAUUUUGCGCAAUGGGGGAAACCCUGACGCAGCAACGCCGCGUGAGUGAUGAAGGCCUUCGGGUCGUAAAGCUCUUUUAGUGGGGAAGAAGCCCUGCAGGGAUAAUACCCCUGCGGUCUGACGGUACCCACAGAAAAAGUUCCGGCUAACUACGUGCCAGCAGCCGCGGUAAUACGUAGGGAGCAAGCGUUGUUCGGAAUUAUUGGGCGUAAAGAGCGCGUAGGCGGUUCGGUAAGUCUGACGUGAAAUCCCGGAGCUUAACUCCGGAACUGCGUUGGAUACUGCCGGGCUUGAGUGUGGGAGAGGAGAGUGGAAUUCCCAGUGUAGAGGUGAAAUUCGUAGAUAUUGGGAGGAACACCCGUGGCGAAGGCGGCUCUCUGGACCACAACUGACGCUGAGGCGCGAAAGCUAGGGGAGCAAACGGGAUUAGAUACCCCGGUAGUCCUAGCCGUAAACGAUGGGCACUAGGUGUUGGAGGUAUCGACCCCUCCAGUGCCGCAGCUAACGCAUUAAGUGCCCCGCCUGGGGAGUACGGUCGCAAGACUA